RNAcentral lists this ribosomal RNA (417 nucleotides) under uncultured bacterium. RNAcentral's name for it is "bacterial SSU rRNA". It matches the Rfam family "Bacterial small subunit ribosomal RNA", at positions 362 to 777 of the family's 1533-position model. The record is from RNAcentral.
UAUUGGUCAAUGGGCGGGAGCCUGAACCAGCCAAGUCGCGUGAGGGAUGACGGCCCUAUGGGUUGUAAACCUCUUUUGCCGGGGAGCAAAGUGCCGCACGUGUGCGGUUUGGAGAGUACCCGGAGAAAAAGCAUCGGCUAACUCCGUGCCAGCAGCCGCGGUAAUACGUAGGAUGCGAGCGUUAUCCGGAUUUAUUGGGUUUAAAGGGUGCGUAGGCGGACGCUUAAGUCAGCGGUAAAAUUGCGGGGCUCAACUUCGUCGAGCCGUUGAAACUGGGUGCCUUGAGUGGGCGAGAAGUACGCGGAAUGCGUGGUGUAGCGGUGAAAUGCAUAGAUAUCACGCAGAACUCCGAUUGCGAAGGCAGCGUACCGGCGCCCAACUGACGCUGAAGCACGAAGGCGUGGGUAUCGAACAGGA